UGGGGAAUUUUGGACAAUGGGGGAAACCCUGGUACAGCCAUCCCGCGUGUGCGAUGAAGGCCUUCGGGUUGUAAAGCACUUUUGGCAGGAAAGAAACGUCAUGGGUUAAUACCCCGUGAAACUGACGGUACCUGCAGAAUAAGCACCGGCUAACUACGUGCCAGCAGCCGCGGUAAUACGUAGGGUGCAAGCGUUAAUCGGAAUUACUGGGCGUAAAGCGUGCGCAGGCGGUUCGGAAAGAAAGAUGUGAAAUCCCAGAGCUCAACUUUGGAACUGCAUUUUUAACUACCGGGCUAGAGUGUGUCAGAGGGAGGUGGAAUUCCGCGUGUAGCAGUGAAAUGCGUAGAUAUGCGGAGGAACACCGAUGGCGAAGGCAGCCUCCUGGGAUAACACUGACGCUCAUGCACGAAAGCGUGGGGAGCAAACAGG
RNAcentral lists this ribosomal RNA (429 nucleotides) under Acidobacteriota bacterium. Its description in RNAcentral is "Acidobacteria bacterium partial 16S ribosomal RNA". It matches the Rfam family "Bacterial small subunit ribosomal RNA", at positions 355 to 776 of the family's 1533-position model. The record is from RNAcentral. Lineage: Bacteria; Pseudomonadati; Acidobacteriota.